This 430-nucleotide ribosomal RNA is filed under the name uncultured archaeon. Its description in RNAcentral is "bacterial SSU rRNA". It matches the Rfam family "Archaeal small subunit ribosomal RNA", at positions 474 to 903 of the family's 1478-position model. The record is from RNAcentral.
UACCAGCUCUCCGAGUUGUAGGGAUGAUUAUUGGGCUUAAAGCGUCCGUAGCUGGCUUAGCAAGUCUCCUGUUAAAUUCAGCGACCUAAUCGUUGAGCCGCGGGAGAUACUACUAGGCUAGGAGGCGGGAGAGGUCGACGGUACUUUCGGGGUAGGGGUGAAAUCCUAUAAUCCCGGGAGGACCACCAGUGGCGAAGGCUGUCGACUAGAACGCGCUCGACGGUGAGGGACGAAAGCUGGGGGGAGCGAACCGGAUUAGAUACCCGGGUAGUCCCAGCUGUAAACUAUGCGGGCUAGGUGUUGGGGUGGCUACGGGCCACUUCAGUGCCGCAGGAAAGCCAUUAAGCCCGCCGCCUGGGGAGUACGGCCGCAAGGCUGAAACCUAAAGGAAUUGGCGGGGGAGCACCACAAGGCGUGAAGCUUGCGGUUC